UUAAAUUUUCAGAACUGUGCAGUGGUUAACAUCUUGAAAGGGGAAGUGAAUGGUGCUAAGCUGAUGGAAUUACUAUCUGCUACCUUCUGUAAAACUAAACAUUGGCCUUGGCAAAUCAGAGGGUUGUCUAGUAAGACCUUUUUGGUCAGGUUUCCUCCCUGGAAGAAAGUGGAAGAUCUUAUUGAGCUGCCUGGGUUCUCCCUGCCACAUGAUGUCAAUGUGACUCUAACUAAAUGGAAAGGUGGGUGUGAACCAUUUGGUGAGUUGAUUGAAUCUUGGGUUUUGAUUGAAGGGAUUCCCCCAAAGUGGUGCACUUGGAAAGUAUUUGCUCAGAUUGCUUCAUUGUUUGGGGUACUUACAGAUGUGGACUGGAAUGGGAUGUUCAGAACUAUUUUUGAGAAUGUCAGAGUUAAGAUAGCUUGCAGAGAUCCAACCAAAAUUUCUUUUGAAAGACUGAUUGAAAUGAAGAAGAAGCUACUUUUGCUUGGCUUUACCAUGGAGGGUUUUGAACAAACAGGUGGGGUUGAUUCUGUCAUUGAUGUAGAUGGGGAUGAAGAUGAUUUUGAGGAAGAUGAGAAGGCUGAGGAGGAUCAGACAGGAGGACAUGAUGGAACACAGGGUGAACAUGCUUCUGAUGGAUCAGGAGGUAGUGACCUAGCUAUUGAUGAGCUUGACAAAGCCAAUUUCUCAUCCAAACAAAACUCUUCAAACAAGUUUGGUACUCAGAGGAUGGUGGUUGCACCCAUGAGAGAUGAUGUAGAUACUGACCAGGAAGAAUUUAUUCUGAAGUGUGCUUUGUCAACUGUUAGCCUUGAUAGUUCAUCUUCUGAUGGACGUGAACAUGUUCCUGGGCAUGUGAGUAAGCUUACAACUCAAAACUUGAACUGUGAUGGAAAAGAAGGGGGUGCUAUCUACAAAACUCCUGCUCCAACUAAUGGAGAUUCUGCAAACAUAACUCCUGAGAAGAACACUGAGAAUAUGGAAUAUUGUGAGGAUCUAUUGAGAUCAGUGGACAUAUGUGAUUCUGAAAAUGAGGAAACAUAA
Molecule: ribosomal RNA, 1044 nt
Filed under: Triticum aestivum (bread wheat)
Lineage: Eukaryota; Viridiplantae; Streptophyta; Magnoliopsida; Poales; Poaceae
Description: partial small subunit ribosomal RNA
Source: RNAcentral